GAUGAACGCUAGCGACAGGCCUAACACAUGCAAGUCGAGGGGUAACAUGAGAGCUUGCUCUUGAUGACGACCGGCGCACGGGUGAGUAACGCGUAUGCAACCUUCCUUUAACUGGAGAAUAGCCCCCGGAAACGGGGAUUAAUGCUCCAUGGCACUCUGAAUACGCCUGUAUUAAGAGUUAAAGUUCCGACGGUUAAAGAUGGGCAUGCGUGACAUUAGCUAGUUGGCGGGGUAACGGCCCACCAAGGCAACGAUGUCUAGGGGUUCUGAGAGGAAGGUCCCCCACACUGGUACUGAGACACGGACCAGACUCCUACGGGAGGCAGCAGUGAGGAAUAUUGGUCAAUGGACGCAAGUCUGAACCAGCCAUGUCGCGUGCAGGAUGACUGCCCUAUGGGUUGUAAACUGCUUUUAUACGGGAAGAAAGGUAUCUACGUGUAGAUAUUUGCCGGUACCGUACGAAUAAGCAUCGGCUAACUCCGUGCCAGCAGCCGCGGUAAUACGGAGGAUGCGAGCGUUAUCCGGAUUUAUUGGGUUUAAAGGGUGCGUAGGCGGAAUGGUAAGUCAGCGGUGAAAUACUGCAGCUCAACUGUAGAACCGCCGUUGAUACUGUCAUUCUUGAGUAUAGAUGAGGUAGGCGGAAUGAGUAGUGUAGCGGUGAAAUGCAUAGAUAUUACUCAGAACACCAAUUGCGAAGGCAGCUUACUAAACUAUAACUGACGCUGAAGCACGAAAGCGUGGGUAUCAAACAGGAUUAGAUACCCUGGUAGUCCACGCCGUAAACGAUGAUUACUGGUUGUUUGCGAUACACAGUAAGCGACUGAGCGAAAGCAUUAAGUAAUCCACCUGGGGAGUACGUUGGCAACAAUGAAACUCAAAGGAAUUGACGGGGGCCCGCACAAGCGGUGGAACAUGUGGUUUAAUUCGAUGAUACGCGAGGAACCUUACCUGGGCUUAAAUGGGGAGUGACAGGGGUAGAAAUACCCUUUUCUUCGGACACUCUUCAAGGUGCUGCAUGGUUGUCGUCAGCUCGUGCCGUGAGGUGUCGGGUUAAGUCCCAUAACGAGCGCAACCCCUGUUGUCAAGUUACCAGCACGU
RNAcentral lists this ribosomal RNA (1098 nucleotides) under uncultured organism. RNAcentral's name for it is "bacterial SSU rRNA". It matches the Rfam family "Bacterial small subunit ribosomal RNA", at positions 28 to 1126 of the family's 1533-position model. The record is from RNAcentral.